This 159-nucleotide ribosomal RNA is filed under the name Melampodium paniculatum. Its description in RNAcentral is "5.8S ribosomal RNA". It matches the Rfam family "5.8S ribosomal RNA". From Rfam's summary of the family: 5.8S ribosomal RNA (5.8S rRNA) is a component of the large subunit of the eukaryotic ribosome. It is transcribed by RNA polymerase I as part of the 45S precursor that also contains 18S and 28S rRNA. The record is from RNAcentral. Lineage: Eukaryota; Viridiplantae; Streptophyta; Magnoliopsida; Asterales; Asteraceae.
CGACUCUCGGCAACGGAUAUCUCGGCUCACGCAUCGAUGAAGAACGUAGCAAAAUGCGAUACUUGGUGUGAAUUGCAGAAUCCCGUGAACCAUCGAGUUUUUGAACGCAGGUUGCGCCCGAAGCCAUUUGGUUGAGGGCACGUCUGCUUGGGCGUCACG